GUGCUCGCUUCGGCAGCACAUAUACUAAAAUUGGAACGAUACAGAAAAGAUUAGUAUGGCCCCUGCGCAAGCAUGUCUUCUCUUCAUCAAGAAGCACUGUGCUUUCAG
Acomys russatus (golden spiny mouse) is the source of this 108-nucleotide small nuclear RNA. Lineage: Eukaryota; Metazoa; Chordata; Mammalia; Rodentia; Muridae. The record is from RefSeq and is a predicted model, not a curated record.